AUCUUCGGACCUUGCGCGAUUGAAUGAGCCGAUGUCGGAUUAGCUAGUUGGCGGGGUAAAGGCCCACCAAGGCGACGAUCCGUAGCUGGUCUGAGAGGAUGAUCAGCCACACUGGAACUGAGACACGGUCCAGACUCCUACGGGAGGCAGCAGUGGGGAAUAUUGGACAAUGGGCGCAAGCCUGAUCCAGCCAUACCGCGUGGGUGAAGAAGGCCUUCGGGUUGUAAAGCCCUUUUGUUGGGAAAGAAAUCCAGCCGGUUAAUACCUGGUUGGGAUGACGGUACCCAAAGAAUAAGCACCGGCUAACUUCG
This 311-nucleotide ribosomal RNA is filed under the name Stenotrophomonas sp. 14(2010). RNAcentral describes it as "bacterial SSU rRNA". It matches the Rfam family "Bacterial small subunit ribosomal RNA", at positions 208 to 505 of the family's 1533-position model. The record is from RNAcentral. Lineage: Bacteria; Pseudomonadati; Pseudomonadota; Gammaproteobacteria; Lysobacterales; Lysobacteraceae.